GACAGAGGGUGCAAACGUUGUUCGGAAUUACUGGGCGUAAAGCGUGUGUAGGUGGCUGCGUAAGUCGGAUGUGAAAGCCCUGGGCUCAACUCAGGAAGUGCACUCGAUACUGCGUAGCUCGAGUACCGGAGAGGUUGGUGGAAUUCUCGGUGUAGGGGUGAAAUUCGUAGAUAUCGAGAGGAACACCUGUGGCGAAGGCGGCCAACUGGACGAGUACUGACACUGAGACACGAAAGCGUGGGGAGCAAACAGG
RNAcentral lists this ribosomal RNA (253 nucleotides) under uncultured bacterium. Its description in RNAcentral is "partial 16S ribosomal RNA". It matches the Rfam family "Bacterial small subunit ribosomal RNA", at positions 524 to 776 of the family's 1533-position model. The record is from RNAcentral.